Molecule: non-coding RNA, 528 nt
Organism: Pelobates cultripes (western spadefoot toad)
Lineage: Eukaryota; Metazoa; Chordata; Amphibia; Anura; Pelobatidae
Source: the annotation of a GenBank genome assembly
AUUACCUGCAUUAGCAUUCGUUGCUCUGUUUCCUUACUGUAGGGCUUAGGCAGGAUUUGUUUCUGUACAGGGCACCUAGCUUUGGAUAAUGUGAAGGCCAAUAGAUUGGGAUUCACAUACCUAGAUAUUUGAAAGAACAAACUGUGUCCGUGUGCUAUUUGAAAUUGAUUUGAUACAUAGUUAGCAAUUUUGUAAUUUAGGUACUGUUCCAAAAAUCAUUGGGGCAGUUUUCUCAGCGUUUAGGGAAAGUUUGUUAUCCUUGAUCCACUUUGCUACCUCUGUGAACUGGUCUUGAAGUUUUCACAACUGCCAAGUCAGCUGCAAAUAAUUUAUGUAUAUGGUCAGUUAAUGUCCCAUCCUGUGGCCAGGUUAUAAUCCUGUAGUGCUGUUGAUACCUCCUCUACAGGUUUUGGUAAAGUAGGGUCUUCCUUGUAUGGACUUCAUAGCAUCACCCUCCGCUAGUGAUUCGCAGGUCUCAGAGUUCCAUGGGAGCACUGUCAUUCGACAAGGUAUGUCUUGAAACAUCAG